GCAAUGAUUACGUAGUAAGUGCUAAAAUAUUUUUAUAAACAUUUUUACUGGGUAUGUAUAAACAUUUGUACAGUAUGUACAUUAGGAUGGCUACAAUCAAAAAGACACAUUAUAAGAAGUGUUAGCAAGCAUACAGAACUAUUAAAACCUUCAUAUGUUGUUACUGGGAAUAUAAAAUGAUACAGCUGCUUCAGAAAAAGAGUUUGACAGUUCCUCAAAAGUUCGACAGAGUUACCACACGACUUAGCAGUUCCACUCCUAUAUACUUAAGAGAUAUGUCCACAUAUAGACCAAUUAAGAAUCUGAUCUAAUUAUAUUAGUAUUCAUUAUACAUUAGUUUUCUUAGAGACGUCUUAGUUUUCAGGUAUGAUCAGAAAGGAUCAGUAAGUGCUCUUGAGCUAAAAAUUAUCCUCAAGGUCUUGGCGUUUCAGCUAAGAACAUAUUUAGACUACCAAUCAAAUUUUACCUCUGUUCAAAAUAAUCAUUUAGUUUCAUUUUUAGUCCUUAUUCACAGAAAAUUAUGGGCAGCUGGUAAAGUGGAUAUUGAAGUUAAAUAGGAAGUGAAUAUUAACCCCCCAACAAGUCCUAUUAUUGGAGGUCAUUAACUUUCUACCAGAAAACAAAGACCAAUAGGAAGAAAAAGUACAAAAUUACGUGAGUUGUAUGCUCUGUUUAUCACUGUAGUUUUAAGUUUUAUCCUUUUGUCGGGAACUUUCUAAGACCAUGCAAACACACACCAUGAUUUCCAAAGUCUUCAAACAACGUCUUUGUAGACAAAAAUAUUUCACAAUUAAAGUAACUAGCCACAAAGUAUCAAAAAAGUAUAUAUUUGGGUUUAUUGUAUACAAAAGACCAGCCUGAUCAACAUGGUAAAACCCCCAUCUCUACUGUAAAGAAGACAAAAAUUACACAGGCAUGGUGGUGCAUGCCUGUAGUCCCAGCUACUAGGGAAGCUGAAGCAGGAGAAUCACUUGAACCCAGGAGGCAGAGGUUGCAGUGAGCCAAGAUCUUGUUUUUUUGCUGUUGAGAUAUCAGAGUUCCUUGUAUAUUCUGGAUAUUAAUCCUCUGCUGGAUACAUACUUUGCAAAUAUUUUCUCCCAUCCUGUAGGUUGUCUUUUCACUCUGCCAAUUGUUUCCUUUGCAAUAACGUUAAUUUUUUAAAGAAAAGUAACUUAAAUGCUUGACAAUAUGGAAUUUAAAAUAUGGUACAUUCAAGCUGGGUGCGGUGGUGCAUGCUUAUAGUUGCAGCUAUCUGAAGGCUGAGGUGGAAGAAGAUCGCAUAAGCCCAGAAGUUUGAGACCAGCCUGGGCAACAUAAUAGCAAGACUUAGUCUCUUUUUUAAAAAAUGGUAUAUUCAAUUUAGGGAACACCAUACAGCAGUUAAAGACAAUGACCUAGAUGAACAAUGGUUCUCAAACUUCAAUGUGCAUCACAAUCACCUGAAGGACUUAAUAAAAAUGGCUGUUUUUAGUGAGAAACUAAGUAUUUAGUUAGAAACUAAGAACUGGCAUUUC
This 1514-nucleotide long non-coding RNA is filed under the name Homo sapiens (human). RNAcentral's name for it is "non-protein coding lnc-OMG-2:1". Lineage: Eukaryota; Metazoa; Chordata; Mammalia; Primates; Hominidae. The record is from RNAcentral.